Long non-coding RNA from Rhincodon typus (whale shark), 1875 nucleotides. RefSeq lists it as uncharacterized. The record is from RefSeq and is a predicted model, not a curated record. The transcript has 3 exons. NCBI's taxonomy places the organism in Eukaryota, Metazoa, Chordata, Chondrichthyes, Orectolobiformes, Rhincodontidae.
AGGCUGAAAUUGUCAAACGAUUGAAUGGAAUUUGUGCUCAAGUCAUCCCCUUCUUGUCUCAGGAGCAUCAGCAACAGGUGGUACAGGCCAUAGAACGUGCAAAGCAGGUGACUGCACCAGAGCUUAAUACUGUCAUCAGGCAGCAGCUUCAAGCACAACAGCUGUCUCACCUCCAUGGUCUCACGGUGCCACUCACCCCCUUACCAGCUGGCCUGCAGCCUCCUGUCAUCCCUUCAGUCAGUGCCAGUGCAGGACUACUGGCGUUAUCCAGCGCCCUGGGCUCUCAGAUCCACCUCGCCUCAAAAGAUGACAAGAACCACCAUGAUGGUGACCACCAGAGAGAUGAGGGGGUACAGAAACCUGAUUAGGAACUCUUGAGGAUUGCGCAACACAAAAUCCUUAAAUAUGAUCUUUGGUGUUUGUUUUAAUGCCUGUAUAUAUCUCGGAGGUGGCAAUUUUGUGCUGUGUAUGUUAUUAUUUAGGAGAACAAAGCCUAUUUUAAAGCUGCAGUAUAUCAAAAGCAACUUUGUUUUGGCAUGAACAAAGCAGGGACACACUAAGUAUGAAUUUGCUUCAGACGAGGGCAUAACUUAUUGGCUUGUCCACCUGAUGGACGUUCUAGUAUUCAGCAUCUUCAAGAUAAAAGCUUCUGAUUCAGCCUGUCCAUUGAAAUUGUGCGUGACAGGAAUUGCCUUUCCAACUAGUUGUCCACAUAAUUGGGCUGUUGAGUGAUUUUUGUUUCAAGUCAAAUGACUUCUAAAGUGCAGAUCAGUACAUUGUCAGAAACCAAAGCAAAUUUGCCAAAUUGAUGGUAAGAUGGCUGAUGUUCUGUGCUGUUGAAAUUGCCAUAUCUUUGACCUUCUUUAAAUGGUUGGCCUAUUAACACACUCUAAAUCAGUUACAUGGGAACAAAUCUUUAAAAGGAGAAAAAAAAAAUUUAUAUAUCAGAAUCAUCUUAAACUCUAAUUUCAUCUGAAUGUCUGUGUUAUUGAUCUAUAAAAGCUUGAGUACACUUUCUUUUUGCUGCCUAAGAUCUAUAUUCCUUGUUGGGAUUUGAUAUGCAGUUCCAAAUUUCUCAAUCACCUUUUAAAGUUUCUGGAGUAAAACAUCUACUGACCAAGAUGGAGACGAUCAUUUAAAUUAUUUUAUCAUCUGCUUGUUUCUGGAUGGGGACAAAGAAUGUAACGAGAGUUGACUUCAGAAUUUGGUGGGAGAGCUUAGCAAAAUAUUCUUCUGUUGGAUUGUGUUAAGCCAUCAGAAUGGGGCAUAAUCACCAACAUACACCUCAACUCAAAGCAAAAUAGGUGUUUCUAUAUUGCGCAGUGUUUUCCAAAGUAAGCUCAGACCUUUUAUAGAUCUCAAAGUAUCAGGGGGUGAAUUCUGAACAUUUGGCUGUACAAUUGGACAUUUCAAAUGCCGCAUCGGCAAUAAGUUGGGGGGCUGUGCAGUUUGCGGGAAAGGUGCAACCAACUUUGUGUUGAUGGCUUUAACUUGAACUGUAUAGAUAACACUGGGCUUGCAGUGCAUCUGAAAUGUGCUUGUGCCGUGGAUGGUUGUUCUUUCAUCCAGACUAAUUGUACGUUGAGAACGAUUCUCCCACUGAAAUCUACACUUUGCUGACUAUACGAGAAGAAUUGGGAAGGGGAUCCAUCAAGGCAAUGAAGGAUCAAAUGGGAGAAGUUGGAGCUGCAAAUGUGUUCCUGUUGGCUGCUAGUUAUGGUUGGUGAAGGACAUGUGUAUGCCAUAUUUGAAAUUCAUGGUUUUCCUGACCCUACCUCCACCAUUCCACACCCACCCCCGGCCCCCCAAAAAUAAGAAAAUACUAAACCAGGCUUCUGUCUCAAAGACACACCACUAACAUCCAUGAGAGAAGAA